CAGAGGGGGAUAACGUUUGGAAACGAACGCUAAUACCGCAUGAUAUUAUUGAGCUGCAUGGCUUGAUAAUCAAAGGAGCAAUCCGCUGAAAGAUGGGCUCGCGUCCGAUUAGGUAGUUGGCGGGGCAACGGCCCACCAAGCCGACGAUCGGUAGCCGGACUGAGAGGUUGAACGGCCACAUUGGGACUGAGACACGGCCCAGACUCCUACGGGAGGCAGCAGUGAGGGAUAUUGGUCAAUGGGGGAAACCCUGAACCAGCAACGCCGCGUGAGGGAAGACGGUUUUCGGAUUGUAAACCUCUGUCCUCUGUGAAGAUGAUGACGGUAGCAGAGGAGGAAGCUCCGGCUAACUACGUGCCAGCAGCCGCGGUGAUACGUAGGGAGCAAGCGUUGUCCGGAUUUACUGGGUGUAAAGGGUGCGUAGGCGGCUUUGCAAGUCAGAAGUGAAAUCCAUGGGCUUAACCCGUGAACUGCUUUUGAAACUGCAGAGCUUGAGUGGAGUAGAGGUAGGCGGAAUUCCCGGUGUAGCGGUGAAAUGCGUAGAGAUCGGGAGGAACACCAGUGGCGAAGGCGGCCUGCUGGGCUCUAACUGACGCUGAGGCACGAAAGCGUGGGUAGCAAACAGGAUUAGAUACCCUGGUAGUCCACGCUGUAAACGAUGAUUACUAGGUGUGGGUGGACUGACCCCAUCCGUGCCGGAGU
RNAcentral lists this ribosomal RNA (702 nucleotides) under uncultured bacterium. RNAcentral's name for it is "bacterial SSU rRNA". It matches the Rfam family "Bacterial small subunit ribosomal RNA", at positions 134 to 852 of the family's 1533-position model. The record is from RNAcentral.